UACGGAGGGUGCGAGCGUUGUUCGGAAUCACUGGGCGUAAAGGGCGUGUAGGCGGUCCGCUAAGUCUGAUGUGAAAGCCCGGGGCUCACCCCCGGAAGGGCAUUGGAAACUGGCGGACUCGAGUCUCGGAGAGGAAGGUGGAAUUCCUGGUGUAGCGGUGAAAUGCGUAGAUAUCAGGAGGAAUACCGGUGGCGAAGGCGGCCUUCUGGACGAUGACUGACGCUGAGACGCGAAAGCGUGGGGAGCAAACAGGAUUAGAAACCCCAGUAGUCC
RNAcentral lists this ribosomal RNA (273 nucleotides) under uncultured bacterium. Its description in RNAcentral is "partial 16S ribosomal RNA". It matches the Rfam family "Bacterial small subunit ribosomal RNA", at positions 524 to 796 of the family's 1533-position model. The record is from RNAcentral.